This 415-nucleotide ribosomal RNA is filed under the name uncultured crenarchaeote. Its description in RNAcentral is "partial 16S ribosomal RNA". It matches the Rfam family "Archaeal small subunit ribosomal RNA", at positions 330 to 747 of the family's 1478-position model. Lineage: Archaea; Thermoproteati; Thermoproteota. The record is from RNAcentral.
GUGCAGCAGGCGCGAAAACUCCGCAAUACGCGAAAGCGUGACGGGGCUAUCCCGAGUGCCGUCCGCUGAGGAUGGCUUUUCCUCAGUGUAGAUAGCUGAGGGAAUAAGGAGAGGGCAAGUCUGGUGUCAGCCGCCGCGGUAAUACCAGCUCUCCGAGUGGUGUGGAUGUUUAUUGGGCCUGAAGCAUCCGUAGCCGGCUGGGCAAGUCCCCUGUUAAAUCCAGCGAUUCAAUCGUUGGAUUGCGGGGGAUACUGUCUGGCUAGGGGGCGAGAGAGGCCGACGGUAUUUUCGGGGUAGGGGUGAAAUCCUAUAAUCCCGGGAGGACCACCAGUGGCGAAGGCUGUUGGCUAGAACACGCCCGACGGUGAGGGAUGAAAGCUGGGGGAGCGAACCGGAUUAGAUACCCGUGUAGUCC